CUGCUGAAAAUAUGUUUAAAGUAAAAUGAAAACAGAUCAUUGGAAAUUGAAUAAUGAACACUUUACUCAUUAAACACAGAUACAUAAGUGCACAUUGAGAAAAAGAAUGUGUGUAAAUGAUAAUUUAUUUAUUUAGUUUAAAAAUUAGUCCUGAAAUUCACGUACAACCUCUACCGAAAGGACAUGUCAGCUAUGUACUACUAUUUCAGAAAAAAUUGAAUUACCCAAUAAAUGAUUCUGCUGCAGUGAUGGCCGCCCUAGAUUUUUCUGCACCUACGGCCAUCACAUUCGCUGCUCGCCACGUGCUUUGACGCUGUAAGGAAGACUGUUGAUGUCUGUAAUGUUUAUUUACUAUAAUGUGAAUUUUUGGGAAUUGUUUGAAAACAGAGUGAAUUUAAAAUUUAAGCCAAAAUAGUUAAACCGUAAAAAGAAAACUUAGUUUGCGAAAUAUUUAGUUGGGCAUGUGAAAUUCAUUUUGGAUUUUUGACAAUUCACAUUUUAGAGAGUAACCCAGGGAGUCGAGCAAGAUGCGUGGUGCAUCCAAGAGGCUCGCUCAUGCAGAUUGCCAUCUGGGUAGUGGUCCUCAGUCUCUUUAAAGUGUCUGGUUCUCUGAUGUGUAACCUCAGACUCUCUGAAUGUCACUGCGCACAAGUCUCACCCUCCUUACACUUCCAUCUCUUCCCAUCUCCCCCACGCUGUGAUACAGGGAAAAGCUUUUAUCGGAGGUGUGAUUAUUGUCUGACCUCAAUCUGACAGCUGGAGCAAAUAGAGUGAUGAAAUGGAAGGGGGGAGGGAAGGGUAGGUUACCAUACAGAGAGGGGUUAAAAAAGAGACAUGGAAAAGUGUUAAUUUGAAGGGAAAUUAUAAUUUGCAUAUAAUAUCAGCUCGUUUCCACUUACACACACUGUGCCAAUUGUGUGCAGUUUAUAGAUUGAGCGAACGUGAUCCUUAUUCAGCUGCAGGCCCUCUGACACACUACCAGCCCCAUGUAAAUGGCUCAGCUGGUGUCCUGUGAGAUAGAACCUUCAAACUCGGAAUUGUCCGUAUUCUAUAUGUUAUAUAUAGGAUAUACACUGCUGGUAGGCUUCGUUACAAAGAAAAAAAUGCUGUGUCUAAAUUAACCCAGCCAUUCCCAAAUAUCUCUUAUUUUUGCCUUUUGUUAAGUAGUAUUCAUAAAUUCAAUAACUGACAAAAUUCAUGUUGUUAUCCUUCAUUACACCCCUUUUCCUUCUAAGGAUAUUUUAUUUAGCCCUGUUCAACUAUUUCUGUCAUAUCAACAUUGUCACCAGAACUUUACAUUGCAGAGUGAUUGAUGGGUUGGUUCUGACAUAUUUCCAUUUAAGGGUAGCUGUAUGUGUGAGUACAAGGGCGUUUAUGUGUAUAUGGGUCAUGUUUGUAUGUGUGUGUGUAUGUAUGGGUGCAAUGUCACUCUUGUCCCAUAUGUACCUAUGUCACGGCUACUUCUUAAUCCAUAGCCUACCUAUAUAUGGACUUAUAUAGAUCCUAUACAGAGCAAACCCAACUUCUAUUCGCUUUUAAUAAAAUAAACAUACAGGCAUGAUAGCUAGAGGUACAGAAAGUAAAGGGAGAGCUAUAACAGAAGGUUAUUGCUGAUGGGAGGAGGUCACAUGAAACAUGUAUUCAACAUCUUCUGAAAUGUGGGAUGACCCUCAGUUGUUAUGAUGUCUAGUGGGUGAGUUCCACUGCUGAGCAUCUUCUACCUCUUUGUGCCUUCUUCAAUAACCAGAUACAAGUUGAUAUUGAGUAACUACGACAUUGCCUUCAGAUAUUUAGAGAUCUGCAGUAGUUGAAGUGGGUUUUCGAAAUUUUCCUCUAGGUCAUUGUUUUUCUUCUUUUAUUUAUCACCGUACCUCUUUCCUUCCAUCGCACUAAAACCAUUUCCCCCAGUUCACUACCCCAAAUGAAAUAUUUUUUAAGAAACCCUCCUACUUUCUUUGUAUUUAUAGCAUGGUGAUGAUUGAUUUUUUUUUUACUAGACUGAGUGUAACCACUCCGGGCAGGGUGUGGUGUCCCUUUUAUUACAGUGUUAGACAUAUGAUUAGUGCGAGAAACAUAUGACUCUGAGCGGCUGUCCUGGCAGAGGAUCUGGUCUCUGCUGUCUUACCUCACACCUACCAGCAAAAUCGAGAUGGUGCUCAGGAGAAAUUAAAACUCAACCCACCAAAUCGAAUUCAAAAUGCCUUGAUAGUUCUGCUGUGGUAAGUUACUUCCAAGUUGACUUCUUGAGCAAAGCAUCUAUUGAAGUAAGCAAGCUAGGUUUCUAUAGCAUUACACAAAUAUAUUCAGGGCCAAUACACACCAUUGUCUGGAAAUCUAUUCAUAAACAGGACAUGUGGUCACGCGUUUAGACUGGAAGAAAGAAGAUUUUGUCUAAGGCAAAAGAAAAGGUUUUUUUACAGUAAGAACAAUAAGGGUGUGGAAUUCUCUGCCUGAAGAAAUGGUUUUAUCAGAGUCUGUUCAGUUAUUUAAACAGCAACUGGAUACACACUUGCAAAAGCAUAACAUCCAGGGUUAUAAUUUUUCAUUUGUGGGGCAAUCGCUUCCUGAUCCAAUGAUAAAUCUAACUGCCAUUCUGGGGUUGAGAAGGAAUUUUUUUUCCUAGUUUGUUGCAAAAUUGGAACACUGAGUUUUUUUCCUUCUUUUGGAUCAACUGCAAAAACAGAUCUGAGAAAGGCUGAACAUGAUGGACACGUGUC
Molecule: non-coding RNA, 2717 nt
Organism: Pelobates cultripes (western spadefoot toad)
Lineage: Eukaryota; Metazoa; Chordata; Amphibia; Anura; Pelobatidae
Source: the annotation of a GenBank genome assembly